RNAcentral lists this long non-coding RNA (1366 nucleotides) under Chloebia gouldiae (Gouldian finch). RNAcentral describes it as "Erythrura gouldiae (Gouldian finch) lncRNA (ENSEGOG00005007315.1)". Lineage: Eukaryota; Metazoa; Chordata; Aves; Passeriformes; Passeridae. The record is from RNAcentral.
CAGGCACAGGGCAGCUCCUCAAUUCCUGCCCAGGCAGCCACGGCCUCUUGGUCUCCCGUGGCAUGGAACAGCUUCUCCUUCAGCAAAGAAUGAAAGAUUUCUGUGUCCUUCCUGCCAGGAUAUCGGGAUUUCCAAGGGGGUUUAAUGGGCUGUGACGUUCCCGUUCUGAUCCAGGUGAUCGGAGAGUUUAAUCUGCACUUCACUGUGGGAAUUUCUCCUCGGAGCAGACACCUCUCACCAAAAGUUUAUUUUUCACAGCUUCUCCUUGGGAUUUGUGGCACCUUCAGGUCUCCAGAAAAGACCAAGAAAGAGACUCAAAAUCAAGGAACCUUCAGAUCAUGGAAAGAUUUUCUGGAUUCUCAUUAACAGAAUCACAGAAUGAUGAGGUUGGAAGAGACCUCUGAGAUCAUCAAGCCCAAGCCAUGCCCUACCACCUCACUAGACCAUAGCACCGAGUGCCAUGCCCAGUCUUUUUUUAAACACAUCCACCACCUCCCUGGGAAGACAAUUCCCAUGCUUUAUUAUUCUUUUGGUGGAAUUUUUUUUCCUAAUAUCCAACCUACACCUUCCCUGCUGUAGUCUGAGACUGUGUCCUCUCAAGCCAACUGUUAAUGAAACACAGGGAAGAAAUGUCGCUAUUGGACACUAAAUGAGUACAUAGAAGCUUGGUAAGUACAAAAGAGAAAAAAGAGAAAGUUUUAUUUGAACAUCUGGUAUUUAUAGAAUUCCAAGAGUGGCAGUGGAUUGGAGGAUGGAAUUGCCACCUCUCCAACCACACUGGUCAAACCAGCAGUCCAUCAAUUCUCAACUCCCACAAAGAAGGAUGUAAAACAAUCAUUAUUUACAUGAACAGUAUGAGAACUCCAGAAAUAUGUAAACAUCAGAAAGCUAAAGAAGUUUUAUGAGAACUUUAAAACUUCCAAAAUAACUAUAAAAGAAAACUGAACACUUUAAAAAUCAGGGCAACAAAGACAGAAUUCCAUCAUGCUCUCGGUGCUUAUUCCAGAAUCUUGGAAGCUGCUUUUGCUCACCUGUUCCCUGCGUUGGCACCUUUGAGUUUCAGGAUUGCUGACACCAAUGUUUUCCUGAAAUCCUGGCCUUUCCCAAGGGACAUCAAUUGGAGUUUGCCCUGACAGCCAAAUAUUUUAGUUUAUGGUUUAUCCUGCCUAACUUCUGGAUUCAAAUUUUGAUUUAAAGUCUUUAUCCCUAAAAAGAGCUGGGGAAAGUGGCUGAUUCCCUGUGGUGAACCCCACACCGGAUGCUGGACUUUGGAAUAACAGGCAGAAGGAACAGGUCUAGGCUGGAGGAUAGCAGGGAAUCCUAAAAUCCCAGGAUGGAUUGGAAAGGGUCUUAAUUCCAAUUCCAA